RNAcentral lists this microRNA precursor (90 nucleotides) under Daucus carota subsp. sativus. Its description in RNAcentral is "sRNA DCAR_mi00138". The record is from RNAcentral. Lineage: Eukaryota; Viridiplantae; Streptophyta; Magnoliopsida; Apiales; Apiaceae.
CACCAAAAGUUGAAGCUGCCAGCAUGAUCUUAACUUUCCGAGAGCAAUGAGGAAAGAUCAGAUCAUAUGGCUGCUUCAUCUGUUGAUGGU